Molecule: ribosomal RNA, 484 nt
Filed under: uncultured bacterium
Lineage: Bacteria
Description: partial 16S ribosomal RNA
Rfam family: Bacterial small subunit ribosomal RNA
Source: RNAcentral
AUUGAACGCUGGCGGCAGGCCUAACACAUGCAAGUCGAGCGGAUGAAGGGAGCCUGCUCCUGGAUUCAGCGGCGGACGGGUGAGUAAUGCCUAGGAAUCUGCCUGGUAGUGGGGGAUAACGUCCGGAAACGGGCGCUAAUACCGCAUACGUCCUGAGGGAGAAAGUGGGGGAUCUUCGGACCUCACGCUAUCAGAUGAGCCUAGGUCGGAUUAGCUAGUUGGUGGGGUAAAGGCCUACCAAGGCGACGAUCCGUAACUGGUCUGAGAGGAUGAUCAGUCACACUGGAACUGAGACACGGUCCAGACUCCUACGGGAGGCAGCAGUGGGGAAUAUUGGACAAUGGGCGAAAGCCUGAUCCAGCCAUGCCGCGUGUGUGAAGAAGGUCUUCGGAUUGUAAAGCACUUUAAGUUGGGAGGAAGGGCAGUAAGUUAAUACCUUGCUGUUUUGUCGUUACCAACAGAAUAAGCACCGGCUAACUUCGUG